This 523-nucleotide ribosomal RNA is filed under the name uncultured bacterium. RNAcentral describes it as "partial 16S ribosomal RNA". The record is from RNAcentral.
AGCGACUGUGCAGGUUACCGCGGCUGCUGGCACGGAGUUAGCCGGUGCUUCUUCUGCGAGUAACGUCACAGAUGUAAGGUAUUAACUUACACCCUUUCCUCCUCGCUGAAAGUGCUUUACAACCCGAAGGCCUUCUUCACACACGCGGCAUGGCUGCAUCAGGGUUUCCCCCAUUGUGCAAUAUUCCCCACUGCUGCCUCCCGUAGGAGUCUGGGCCGUGUCUCAGUCCCAGUGUGGCUGAUCAUCCUCUCAGACCAGCUAGGGAUCGUCGCCUACGGUGAGCCUUUACCUCACCUACUAGCUAAUCCCACCUGGGCUUAUCCAUCAGCGCAAGGCCCGAAGGUCCCCUGCUUUCCCCCGUAGGGCGUAUGCGGUAUUAGCAGUCGUUUCCAACUGUUAUCCCCCACAAAUGGGCAAAUUCCCAGGCAUUACUCACCCGUCCGCCGCUCGUCAUCUUCAAAAGCAAGCUUUUGAAAUGUUACCGCUCGACUUGCAUGUGUUAGGCCUGCCGCCAGCGUUCAAU